GGCUAACGCUGGCGGCGUGUCUUAGCCAUGCAAGUCGAGCGGACUUAUGGGGUAACUUAUAAGUCAGCGGCGGACGGCGGAGUAACACGUAGCUAACCUACCCUCUGGACGGGGAUAACCUACCGAAAGGUGGGCUAAUACCCGAUGUAGUCAUCCUGUAUAGGGGUGAUGAAAGGUGGGCUUCUGUUUACAAGCUCAUGCUGGAGGAGGGGGCUGCGGCCUAUCAGGUAGUUGGUAGGGUAAUAGCCUACCAAGCCGAUGACGGGUAGCCGGCCUGAGAGGGUGACCGGCCCGAGGGGCACUGAGAUACGGGUCCCACUCCUACGGGAGGCAGCAGGCUAGAAAUUUGGGCAAUGGGGGAAACCCUGACCCAGUGACGCCGCGUGCAGGAAGGAGCCCUUCGGGGUGUAAACUGCUGUCGUGUAGGGAGAAGGGUACUAAGGUGAACAAUCUUAGUACUUGACGGUACUACAGGAGGAAGCCCAGGCUAACCUCGUGCCAGCAGCCGCGGUAAAGUACGUACUACUA
Molecule: ribosomal RNA, 528 nt
Filed under: uncultured bacterium
Lineage: Bacteria
Description: bacterial SSU rRNA
Rfam family: Bacterial small subunit ribosomal RNA
Source: RNAcentral